Molecule: ribosomal RNA, 497 nt
Filed under: uncultured bacterium
Lineage: Bacteria
Description: partial 16S ribosomal RNA
Rfam family: Bacterial small subunit ribosomal RNA
Source: RNAcentral
GAUGAACGCUGGCGGCGUGCCUAAUACAUGCCAGUCGAGCGAACAGACGAGGAGCUUGCUCCUCUGACGUUAGCGGCGGACGGGUGAGUAACACGUGGAUAACCUACCUAUAAGACUGGGAUAACUUCGGGAAACCGGAGCUAAUACCGGAUAAUAUAUUGAACCGCAUGGUUCAAUAGUGAAAGACGGUUUUGCUGUCACUUAUAGAUGGAUCCGCGCCGCAUUAGCUAGUUGGUAAGGUAACGGCUUACCAAGGCAACGAUGCGUAGCCGACCUGAGAGGGUGAUCGGCGACACUGGAACUGAGACACGGUCCAGACUCCUACGGGAGGCAGCAGUAGGGAAUCUUCCGCAAUGGGCGAAAGCCUGACGGAGCAACGCCGCGUGAGUGAUGAAGGUCUUCGGAUCGUAAAACUCUGUUAUUAGGGAAGAACAAAUGUGUAAGUAACUAUGCACGUCUUGACGGUACCUAAUCAGAAAGCCACGGCUAACUACGUG